CAGCAGCCACGGUAAUACGUAGGGAGCUAGCGUUGUUCGGAAUUACUGGGCGUAAAGCGCACGUAGGCGGUUAUUCAAGUCAGAGGUGAAAGACCGGGGCUCAACCCCGGAACUGCCUUUGAAACUAGAUGACUGGAAUCUUGGAGAGGUCAGUGGAAUUCCGAGUGUAGAGGUGAAAUUCGUAGAUAUUCGGAAGAACACCAGUGGCGAAGGCGACACACUGACUCACUACUGACGCUGAGGCGCGAAAGCGUGGGGAGCAAACAGAAUUAGAUACCCGUGUAGUCCCUGUCUCUUAUAA
Molecule: ribosomal RNA, 301 nt
Filed under: uncultured bacterium
Lineage: Bacteria
Description: partial 16S ribosomal RNA
Rfam family: Bacterial small subunit ribosomal RNA
Source: RNAcentral